UUGACUGAUUUGCUGAAAAUACAGGAAUUACGAAAGAUACUUGAUGAUGAUGUUGACGGGGUGGUUGACUUCUUCUAAUCUGAGGCCUCCUUUGUCUCCCACUGGAAACCGCAUUAGCUUCGCCGUCCUUCUUCUUGCUGAAAUUGUUGUCGUACCUCUUGCUGGAUGACACCUCCUCUCUAAACAACCGUCCUUCUCGG
RNAcentral lists this long non-coding RNA (200 nucleotides) under Lathyrus oleraceus (garden pea). RNAcentral describes it as "Pisum sativum (pea) long non-coding RNA (PSAT_LNC016518)". Lineage: Eukaryota; Viridiplantae; Streptophyta; Magnoliopsida; Fabales; Fabaceae. The record is from RNAcentral.